GGCUCAGGAUGAACGCUGGCGGCGUGCCUAAUACAUGCAAGUCGAGCGAACUGAUUAGAAGCUUGCUUCUAUGACGUUAGCGGCGGACGGGUGAGUAACACGUGGGCAACCUGCCUGUAAGACUGGGAUAACUUCGGGAAACCGAAGCUAAUACCGGAUAGGAUCUUCUCCUUCAUGGGAGAUGAUUGAAAGAUGGUUUCGGCUAUCACUUACAGAUGGGCCCGCGGUGCAUUAGCUAGUUGGUGAGGUAACGGCUCACCAAGGCAACGAUGCAUAGCCGACCUGAGAGGGUGAUCGGCCACACUGGGACUGAGACACGGCCCAGACUCCUACGGGAGGCAGCAGUAGGGAAUCUUCCGCAAUGGACGAAAGUCUGACGGAGCAACGCCGCGUGAGUGAUGAAGGCUUUCGGGUCGUAAAACUCUGUUGUUAGGGAAGAACAAGUACGAGAGUAACUGCUCGUACCUGA
This 469-nucleotide ribosomal RNA is filed under the name Bacillus sp. IGS120. RNAcentral describes it as "bacterial SSU rRNA". It matches the Rfam family "Bacterial small subunit ribosomal RNA", at positions 21 to 482 of the family's 1533-position model. Lineage: Bacteria; Bacillati; Bacillota; Bacilli; Caryophanales; Bacillaceae. The record is from RNAcentral.